CACGGACGCGGGGAACGGGGCGCUGGUGGCCGCCCCGGCACGCUCCGGCGCUGAGGGCAUCUCUCCUCCCGCAGGCACCGGUGGAGCCGGAGCAUCGGGACUUGACAGAAGGGCUUUAAAGUGCGUCGUGUGCCAACUCCAAACCCCGCGGCCCCGGCUCGGCUCCGGGCCGGAGCUGCCGUCUCUGUGUUAGCCAGACCGAUGCUYCCCCCCCCGCCUCCGGCUUCUCCAACCCGCUGUCCGAAGCCCUCGGAGACUGUUUUGGGACACGGACCCCGGCGCGCGGCAGAGCGGAGUCGUGGCAUCGCGUCCGGGAGCUGCCCGGCGCUGCAGGCAGCCCCCCCGGCCCCGCGGCAGCCGGCUCCCGGGCAGGGGGGAGGCGGGAUACGGGGUCCCAGGCCCCUUUCCGCGAGCAGCACCGGGAAAAAGGACGGAUUCCCUGCAGCAAAAGCAGCGGAGACUGGAGCGUUGGGACGGGAACGGGGAGCAGGGCAGGGCCGCRGCCAGCAGCAGCUCCCCGGGGGCUGGACGUUGCAAAGCCCGGCGGCGGGGAGGGAUGCGACCGCCGGAAAAGCGGCUCAGGCUUCAUCCGCCCGCGUAAUGCCACCGCCGGGCUUCAGCCGAGUGGGAUUAGCCGGGGCCGCGGGUGCUGGGCUGCGCGGGAAGGUCGUGGCCGCCCGGAGCGGAGGCCGCGUCCCGGUGCCGGGGAUGCAGACCGGGACCGCGCGGGGCGAACGGGCCCCUUGGCUCCCCGGCCGUCCCGAGCCGCUGCCGCCGGGGGGAAAAGCCACGGAAAAGCGAGGCGAGGAGCCGGGCUGCACCGCGGCGCGUGUCCCCCGCGGGAAGCAGCACUGCCGGAGCCCCGGGUGCCUCGGCGAGGGCCUGCUGCCGCCCUUUCCCCUCCGUCCUGCCCGCGCAGCUUGUGCACCGCCGCGGAGGCGGGAGCGUGUCGCCGCGUGUCACACACCAGCGCGGGGCCCCUGCCGCCGCCGACCCUCCCCACCCCGUAACACGGCAAAUAAAUGUUGGUGCGAUCAUGGCGAGCUGCUGGCGGUGCCGGCCCCGGCAAAGGCGCGGGCAUG
This 1082-nucleotide long non-coding RNA is filed under the name Dromaius novaehollandiae (emu). Its description in RNAcentral is "lncRNA (ENSDNVG00000012212.1)". Lineage: Eukaryota; Metazoa; Chordata; Aves; Casuariiformes; Dromaiidae. The record is from RNAcentral.